AUUGAACGCUGGCGGCAUGCCUUACACAUGCAAGUCGAACGGCAGCGGGGACUUCGGUCCGCCGGCGAGUGGCGAACGGGUGAGUAAUGUAUCGGAACGUACCUUUCAGUGGGGGAUAACGUAGCGAAAGUUACGCUAAUACCGCAUAUUCUCUGAGGAGGAAAGCAGGGGACCUUCGGGCCUUGCGCUGAUGGAGCGGCCGAUAUCAGAUUAGCUAGGUGGUGGGGUAAAGGCUCACCAAGGCUACGAUCUGUAGCGGGUCUGAGAGGAUGAUCCGCCACACUGGGACUGAGACACGGCCCAGACUCCUACGGGAGGCAGCAGUGGGGAAUUUUGGACAAUGGGCGAAAGCCUGAUCCAGCCAUGCCGCGUGAGUGAAGAAGGCCUUCGGGUUGUAAAGCUCUUUCGGACGGGAAGAAAUCAUGAGGGCUAAUAUCCCUUGUGGAUGACGGUACCGUAAUAAGAAGCACCGGCUAACUACGUGCCAGCAGCCGCGGUAA
This 500-nucleotide ribosomal RNA is filed under the name uncultured bacterium. Its description in RNAcentral is "partial 16S ribosomal RNA". It matches the Rfam family "Bacterial small subunit ribosomal RNA", at positions 30 to 523 of the family's 1533-position model. The record is from RNAcentral.